CAAUAGCGUAUAUUAAAGUUGUUGCAGUUAAAAAGCUCGUAGUUGGAUUUGUGGCGUACGGUGGGUUCCGGGCACUUGUUGUCUGAGUAACUUGCUGUUGCCAUCCUCGGGUGGAACCUGUGUGGCAUUAGGUUGUCGUGCAGGGGAUGCCCAUCAUUUACUGUGAAAAAAUUAGAGUGUUCAAAGCAGGCUUAUGCCGUUGAAUAUAUUAGCAUGGAAUAAUGAGAUAGGACUUUUUUGCUAUUUUGUUGGUUUGCGCAAAGAGGUAAUGAUUAAUAGGGACAGUUGGGGGUAUUCGUAUUCCAUUGUCAGAGGUGAAAUUCUUGGAUUUUUGGAAGACGAACUACUGCGAAAGCAUUUACCAAGGAUGUUUUCAUUAA
RNAcentral lists this ribosomal RNA (380 nucleotides) under uncultured eukaryote. Its description in RNAcentral is "partial 18S ribosomal RNA". It matches the Rfam family "Eukaryotic small subunit ribosomal RNA", at positions 592 to 976 of the family's 1831-position model. The record is from RNAcentral.